UAAGAGACAGCAGUAGCCACGGUAAUACGUAGGUCCCGAGCGUUGUCCGGAUUUAUUGGGCGUAAAGCGAGCGCAGGCGGUUAGAUAAGUCUGAGGUUAAAGGCUGUGGCUUAACCAUAGUACGCUUUGGAAACUGUUUAACUUGAGUGCAAGAGGGGAGAGUGGAAUUCCAUGUGUAGCGGUGAAAUGCGUAGAUAUAUGGAGGAACACCGGUGGCAAAAGCGGCUCUCUGGCUUGUAACUGACGCUGAGGCUCGAAAGCGUGGGGAGCAAACAGGAUUAGAUACCCGCGUAGUCCCUGUCUCUUAUACC
Molecule: ribosomal RNA, 311 nt
Filed under: uncultured bacterium
Lineage: Bacteria
Description: partial 16S ribosomal RNA
Rfam family: Bacterial small subunit ribosomal RNA
Source: RNAcentral